GGACAUCUCCAGAAGGCUUUGGGAAAGCUCCUGGGCCUGUGCUCACCUCCUGCAUGGGAGCGUGCUGGAGAGGCCGCUCCUUCUUGUUGAAGUCUUGCCAUGCUUUUAACCUUCACGUACAGAUACUCCAAGGAAAAAAUGAGCUGCUUCUAACCGAAUUAGCUCCGUGUUUUCAUCUGCCAUUAUGUUAAUGCAACGCGAAGCUCAGCAGAUGGCACAAAGUAAAUUAUGCUGGGGAGGGGGGUGUGGAGGGGGUGGAGGAGGAAGCAAAAUUGACCUUUUGAGGACUUGCUGUUUCCCCACAGCAUGGUUUGAAAGCUCAAGUUCCAUGUCCUGCUUAAAGUCGCAUCAGUCAAUGCAAAGGCAGACAUGAAAGGCACUGAGAUGCCGACGAAUGUCAACUCUCCCUGGCAUCAAAUGUUUCUGAACUUAAUUUACCUGCACAUGUGUUCAAAGAGCUCCGCGUAUCCCUCACAAACGCUCUUCCUGGUCUGAAGCACGUCGAUGGGUUUGCUCGACAGCUGGCUUUUGUCGCGGUAGCCCACCACGUCGUAUUCUGUGGGAAGGAACGCGGACAAAAGUUCAUCCCAAAGCCCGAGGCAACGGGAUCGAUGGGCAGCGGGAGCAACCCAUUGCUUUUCAUCUCCGUGAGCCUAAGCAAAGAGAAAUGAGUCGUAGCAUGUGCUGCACAGAGAUGGGCAGAGAGGGACCAGGUCUACCUCUCAUCACCAUUUGCUCUAAGCCUGGGCUGGGAUUCUGCAGUUGAACCCGAAUGGGAGGAAAAAAUAUCUGCUCUCAUGUCAGGGGAACUGCAGUCCUGUUAAAGUGCAAAGAGUUCUACAUUUCAGUGGGUUGCACUCAUGCUACUGUCCAAGGAAACCACUGAGCUUUUUGCGCUUUUGACAAGCAAUUUGUAUUUAAAAAUACCUGGAAAGUAGCUUGUUGGGAAAUACCUGAAAUGACUUGUUGCGAGGGAGUCAUAUUAAUACCUGGAAGCGUAGGAAAUCUUAAUUUGUUGGAAUGAAUGCAGAAAAGCAGAACAGCAGGGUUCCUUCAGACAGAGCUUGAGGAACUGGUCUGGGAAGGUUAAUUCAAUACUGCCCAACCUUGGUCAUGUCCAUCACCUCUUUCUUAAAAUAUGAGCAUAUUUUUCUGACAAAGCUCUAAGGAAUGCUGCAUCAGCUGAUUCAUCUUCCCUUUUAUGCUGUGGAAGAGGGGGGAAAAAAGCUGGUGACAUGCUGUAUUUGUGCUUUGAAAUGCUGCAACCCCUUGGCUUUUAUCUAUGGGGCUUGGCUGGUGGCUGCCUCGGGGUUGGCUUCUCCUCCUGGGCUGUCCACCUGGCCACCAGCAAAGCUGCUUGGAGAGCUUGCUGUCUGCUUGUGGCUCCGUAGUGAUGCUAGAAAUAUAGCUAAAAUAAUUGGUUUUAGUGCUCCUGCAUAGAGGUAGCGGUCCAUUGCAGGCUGGGGGUUGAGUUGGGUGGGAAGAGAUACCCAGGGAGCAGCGCUUUCCCUUGAAAUCCAAACAGGGAAGGGGUCUAUAUCAUCAGACGAUUUAAAUUCCUAGCACUAUGUUUAUCUCCUGUACAUGUAAAUAAGGGUCAGGCUCUGCAGGAAGGAAGGACAACCAGGGGCAAGACAGUGUGAAAAAAUAUUGCGAGAUCACAGCGUACUGCCUGGAUCAGAGACAACUUGUGUGUCAGGUGAAUGGACUGACUCAAACCAAACUGGCUCUCCAAGGUGGGAUCUGGCCCAGGCAACGGCCAGAAGUGGGUUAAUAGUGUAAAGACUUGAGUGAUCAGUGCUGGGGUGGGGCGAAUGCUCGGUUUUCAGAAAUGCACUGAAAUCAGCAUGUUUGAGGGCAAGAUUAAAGCUGUUUGGGAUUGAGCUAACUGUGCUAAGCCUGCAGUUGCUGGCAAAGCUCUGCUGGUCUCCGUGGGUGUGAGAUUAGGGCAGUGCUAGUGUGGUUACACCUUGGAGUAAGGUGAGUGGGAGGUACAGACUCAUCAUAUGGAAAGGAGUCAUUUACACACAAACCUUGUAGGAAGGGCAGUGCUGGGAGAGGGACUAUGGAAAUGGAGAUGGCGAGAGAACCCCUGAAUGUAUUUCUGGAUAAAUACACCCAGAAAACCUUCCUUCCACCCUGCACUUGAAACUAAACCAUAAGACAUAGCAAACUGCAAUGGCAGCGUCAUGGGGGUGACAGCCACAGCCUUAUCUUCUCAGUCAAAGAUCUCAACCUACCUAUGUGAUGGCAUAUCCACAUCCAUAUGGCUCGGACUUUCUCCAGAUCAGUCCGGGCUUGUUUAAGCAGGGCUUUAACGAGCUCCUCCACGCUGUUUGUGACAUUUACCUGUUUGUGAGGAGGAAACAUUGCAAGGUUGCAGUAAAGAAAUGCUCCAUGCUCCUUUGUUCUUCUAAAGCUGGUGAGACCUCACCUGCCAGGAGACUGCUCUAAAUCCAGCUUCAUUAGAAAUACAAAUUCAACAGUGUAGUUUCACAUUUUGAGCAAAUACUUUUGGUUAUAGUUUCCCUGCUGGAGUGGGAUCUCUGUUGCUGAUGUUUGCAGGGAAACUGGGUUUUUUUGGUUGUUUGGGACACUUUGAGGCACAUGCCCCGAUAGCUCAGACUGAGCCGGUGUUCGUGCUGGUUUCAGGGAACGUCCCUGCAGGGGAGCUGGGAGGAGGACAGAGGGGAAAAGCAGGACUUACUUUUAAUGCGUAGGCAUCCAGCUUCUCAAAUUGCCGCAGAUCGACUGGCAUGGAUUUCAAAGAGGAUUUGUCCCAUGGAUAGGCUGGGAAGAAACGAGUUGUCAUUGUCUGGGGAAGGGAGGGGGGCAUUUUUUCCUGGCCGUGCUCUUGGACAAGGGGACAGGGCUCCUGCUCAGGGAGCAGAGGACAGCAGGGCGCUUACAGAGGCCCCUGACAGCUGCACAGAACGCAGGAGCCAUCCUGUCUAGUCUGUAUAAUUUGGGCCGUGCUGGAGCGGGAGCGGCCCCUCUGUCUUUGGUGCUGCGUAACAGCAUCGAAAAUCCCAGGAUAUUGUGGAGGUGCGUGAGAUACAGAGCAGGAGUACCAGGGAAAAUCUGUGCUGUGGAAACCCUGGUGGAAACAUGACUUAAAAAAAAGGUUAUAUAUACAUAUAUAUUUAUAACAGCAGCAAAAAGCUGCCUUUCUCCAGUAGUUUUGCUGAAAACACUGACCGCUGUGCAUGGUAAAGGGCCACGAUUCUGUGCAAAUUUGAGCACAUGAGAGAUGUUACAUGGGGAGCGGUUGGACCAAGACGGCGUCUUCGCAGGCUUUAGCCUCACAGUUCUACUCUCUGUGAACAAAGGGUUAAUAACUUGCACUAAUUAAUCAGAUAACUUAUUUUUUAACAGUCUCCGGAUAAGCCGACACUGUGAUGCAGCGAUAUCUCAGUGCACAGAUGUCUCGGGUGGACGUCUCCCCUGGAUCGCCGUAUGCUCAGCGCUGCCUUUGCUUCUGAGCUGGGGAGAGGACUGAGCUCUACAGCAACCACUGCCAUGUGCUGUCAAAGCCCCUCGGGACUAAAAGGAUUCUUCUACCUAUCUCUGCAGGAUUGUUGUUUCUCCAGGAAAAAAAGGGGGAUUUAAAAAGGUUUGCGAAGUGAAAAUGCUGUUGUGUGACUCCUGAGUGCUGGGAGAGGUGAAUGGAUGGUGCUGUAGAGGUGGCCAGAAGGUCUGUUUCUGACUGGCGAAGGUGUUUUGUUAAUUUAAGCCCUGCUUUUCUUGCAAACCUGUACCCGAGGGAGGAGUUUUGGGGUGUCCCGCAUCCCGGUGACGGUGUGACCUGCCAGCCGGGAUGCAGGCACCCAUUGCCCGUCCCUGCGCUGCGAAAAUCUGUGUGUAGGCACACGGCAUCUGUUUCUUUAACAGCCUUCUUUGUUUAUCUCGUUUUUUUCCCUUACAAGGACUAUUACGCUGACCUAAAGAAAGAUAAAGCAGAUUUACGCAUUUAAAGGUUCCCACUCUCUACAGCUCUGAAAAUUACUUUUUGCCUGUUGGGAAUGGGAUGUUUUGGUAUGUUUUUAAAUUGGUUGUCUGUUUUUCGUCUUUGUCAGGCUAUCGCUGCAGAGGCUCCUUGUGGUAACUCACAUAACCCUGUGCAUCAUGCCUGUUUGCAGAGCACCUGCCUCGGCUGGGAGCCUCGGGAAGCCCUUGGGCACAGGGCUCCCUGGAGACUCGCCGGCCUGGAUGGACAAAGGAAAACAUCUGAGAGCCUUGCAGAGAGUGGGGGCUGGAUUAAAUAAACCUGUGCCUUUGCACUGAGGCACCACAUUAGGCUUAGACUACCAGGAAAGCAAGUCAGGUGCUCUGAUUCCCUUCCCCGAAAGCUUCUCUGUCCCGUAGCAUCGCGGUCCUGCAGCCAGGGCCCGUCAGCAGCUGUCACCUCUAAGCCAUGGAGCCUUUGUGCAGUUGUUCCUGUUGCUGCUCCUCCUCUGCGCCCCCGUAAGCUGGACCGUGCCCCUGUGGGGACAAGGGACCAGGGCCAGACGUGCUGCUCCACAUGCAGGUGCACUAAUGAUUUCUGUCUUGUUCUCCGUGCUGUUCCUGUUGAAGUCCUGUCCCAGCACCAGCUUUGCUUUGUUCGCCCACCACUGAGCGGGUAUUUUCACAGAACUAUCCACAAGAUCUGUCUCCUGACUCAGAAUAGCUCAUUUGGAGCCCAUUAUUGUGUGUGUGUGUGUGUAUAUUUGGAGUUUAUUUAUUUUUUUUUUUCCAGGCAUUACUUUGCAUUUGUAGAUAUUGAAACUCAGCUUCCAUUUUCUGCCUCAAUUACAAGUUAGCUUCGGAGCGCUGGGAUGCAUUCAUGUUGUGUAACGCGUUACAAUUGCACUCUGAUGAGUUUUAAUCUCCUCUUUUGGCCUGUCCUUUCUUCCUCCCUCCGACAGAGCUGCAAGGCUCUGUGCUUAUUCUCCUCCCAGCAGCUUCCAAACCACGGGUUGCUCAGAUGCUCUGCUGGUUUUGCAGCUUUUGCUGCAUCAGCAGCUGUGCUUUAUGAUUUAAGACGGCAGCAGAACUUUCCACUGAACUAUAAACCCGUGUAUUCAGUUUCCUGGUAUCCGCACACCCGGGAAGCAAAGUGACGGCUUGGAUAGUCCUGCGAGGGCUGUUCAAGCAAAAGAAGACCCAACCCCUCUGACCACCCCCGCAGAGCUGAGGGAGUGAGGACCAGUCCCUGUUCAACGAGGGAAAACACUUCACCAAAGAGACGAAACAUCUUCAUCACUCUAAAGGUAUAUUUUAAAUAAGCAGCCACAAAAAAGGUAAGAUAAGGGCUCCUGGGUGGGGGCUGUGCACGGUGCACUCAGUGUUCGCACUUCAUCUGCUCAUGGAUGGUUUGCACCAAUAAAUUCUGGUGCUGCAGCUCUGAUUUGUUCCUGUGGAACCUCCGCUGGCCUUUCCCCGUGCCACAGCCAAAUGUCAGCGGAUCCGAGCCACUGGCGGUGAGUGCAGGCAGCCAGCGCCUUGCUCUUUCCAUCGGUGCUGGGUCAGAUGGCAGACUCCCCCAGGGCCCAAGUGUUAUUAUCAUUAUUUAUUUGUAUCGUGGCAGCGCCUAGGAACAGUUGUAAGCUAACGCAGCACAGGUUGUGACAUGCAUCACAGAGUAAAUACUGAGUGCUAUCACAAUAAUGCUGCCUCCUUGCAGCCCCUGCUCCCAUGGCAGCAUCCACCCACCGCCGUUAAUACUUCCCUGGUUCUGGUUAAUUGGGUGAGUUGAAAUGUUGGGACUGUGGUGCAGAGCAGCCCCGGAGCGAUGCGCAGCUUUGGCGGGCACCAUGGCCCCUCUAAUCCCAACCGGCAGGAUAAUGCAAGCUGCGGAGCAUCUCCAGAAAGCAGGACGAGGCUGGUUUGGUUAAAGCAACAGGUCUCCAAUUAAGCAUAACAAGAAGGAGCUAUUUCCCUGGGUUUUGCUCCGCGAGACCGGCUGUCUCAAUUAACUGGCUCCCCUUACAGUGUUUUUCAACUGUACAGAGAUGAGCCAAGGACACAUGAACGUAAGGGGAUCCAGGAGGAUUCCCCGAGUGCCAGGAAGCUGGACGCUGCUGUCUCUCCUCUCCACGGACGUGCGCAGCCCGUGUUCGCUGAGCGAGCGCUGUUUGGAGUUUGGAGGAGAGCGGCUCAGGUUCUCACCUGCUCACGGCUCCGUUAAUGCUGCAAUAAUUCCUUAACCAACUCAUUGCUCAGGGGCUCAGCCCCUCCUGCACCCGUCCUGCUGGGGCUCUCGUGCAAUUGGCUGGAGCAGCUAUUGCUCUUGGCAAAAAAAUCCCUAGUUUGCUGGUGAUGAUGCAAAACAUGUAGUUUGUGGGGGAAACACCUGAGUACCACACAUAGGGUAAUUUCUUCUCCCCAGGAACAAGCGCCAGGAGCAGAGGAAACGGCCUCAAGUUGCGCCAGGGGAGGUUGAGGUUGGAUGUGGGGAACAAUUUCUUCCCCAAAGGGCUGUGGGGCAUUGGAACAGGCUGCCCAGGGCAGUGCUGGAGUCACCAUCCCUGGAGGGUUGGACAGACGGACAUGAGGUUCUCAGGACAUGGGACAGUGCCAGGGGUGGGUUAUGGUUGGACUGGAUGAUCUUGAGGGGCUUUUCCAACCAAAAUGAUUCUGUGAUUUCCCUGCACAUCGUGGCCUUGCUCUUCCAGCAAAACAGCUCGUUCCUCCUCCAGGUCUGCUCUCUAACCUCCUUCCUCUCCAGCUCCAGAGAGGUGACAGCAAGAAGGAAAAGAAUCUGCUUGGGGACAUUGUUAAAAGAAGGUUUUGUGGGUGCGACCCAAGUCACGUUGAGAACUUGAGCUGAGCAACAUCCAAAGAAAUGCUGUGGAGUCACCAUCCCUGGAGGGGUUGAACAGACACAGAGAUGAGGUUCCCAGGGACAUGGAGUAGUGCCAGGGCUAGUUUAUGGUUGGACUCCAUGAUUUUAAAGGUCUUUUCCAACCAAAAUUAUUGAUUCUGUGAUUCUAUGACUCUGGCUUUGUCCCUGGUUGUGCGGUGUCCCAGGUGGCAUGGUGGGCAUCAUGUGAGAUGAGGAGCCGUGGGCUGACAGCGGCCCCAGGCCAAGCUGCUCUGACCAUCUGCUCCGUGCCGUGCCAGCCUGCCGGCUGCUAUAAAGAGCGUGCGUGCCGCGGGGGAUCUGCUGGUAACAGGAGCUGCAGGGCUUCAGAGAGGAGCUGACUCUGUCUUUUCAGCUCUGCCUUGUGUAUAUUUAUCCAUACGUACAAAUAGAGCUGGCCCAGGCGCUUGGGUGUCACGCUGAGCUGGCUGCAGCGUCCCCCAGCCUCCGGCUCCAUCCAGCCUUGGUGCAAUGUGGAGCAGCCAAGGGGCUUGCAAUGCAGCAGCCAGCGAGGUUGCUGAAUGUGAGGAGCAGGGUUGGAUGGUUUUCUGCACCUGUUUGUCACCCUGAGGAUUUCAGGGGUGUCCCUACCUGUGGGGUGACCUGGGGAUGCGCUGGUGCUGGUGGCAGCAGGUAGAGCCGAGGGCUGGGAGCCACGAGGCACCUCGUGAUGCUGAGAAGGAUGGGGGAGCGGAGGAGCAGAGCCCGUCCCCUCGCUUACAGUGGCUGCAGCCGGUGCCUUGGACAGAAACGGGGCUUUUAUCUCCAGUCCACACCUUGGCGAUGCAGCGGGAAAGGGCUUUCGCUCAGCCAUCGAACGCCUGACUCUGCGGUUUGAUUCCAGCCAACAAAAUUAGUGCAAGGCUUUCUCUGAGCUCCGUUUUGAUUUUUUUCGGGAAAAUGUGUUAUCAAAGGCAGAAACGUGGCAAAAAGAUUGGAUAAGGACUGUUGGGUAUUGUGCACAUGGGGGCAUGGUGCAGGGCUGUGCUUUGGGACCUCAGUAUUAUGGAAUUCUUUAAUGUUCUGUCUUUGAAUCUUAGUCCUCUCCUUUCCUUCUAACUUGUGAAAGGCAUAAUGCUGUUUCUAGCUUGGUGGAAAGAGAUUUUCUUUCUGAGAUGACUUGGACAGACUUCAGGACCCACUUAAUGUUGGUUCUGGUCAGACUGAGCUUCAAAAGGAGAUUAAUUUCAACCGAGCUUUUAAGUCUUUCACAAAUUGGCUUAAACCCAAGGAUUAUCGAAAUGCAUCAGCACUGAAAUGAACUAUUUAAAAAUAAAUUGGCACUUAAGAUAACUGAAUUUAGGGGACCAGAAAUGCAAACUUGGGAAGAAAUGGGUGAUGGUGACUCUCUGCAAUGUUCCCUAAACCUACCAAGGUCUUUUGUUUCCAACCCAAAAGCAAAGCAAGAGAGAGUCAAAGAUAAAGAAACCUGAAUCUAGUUGGCUUAAAGGUCAUGAGACUUAGUGUCGUGAUAUUUGAGGGUCUCGUGAUUUUUUUUUAAAUGUUAAUACCACAGCCCUCCGUUGGGAAAUUCGCUGCCACUAGUUACCAGCCAUGACUUCAAGUUGUUUCUGAUCCGCUUUAGUGGAGGUUUGAUAACAGAGUUACUGAUUUACCUGUAGGAAGGUUCUUUUAUCCAAGGCUCACGAGAAAGUAGGAAACGGGAGAAUUUUUGUCCUAAUUCCUGUAACAUUUCUGCUAUUUGCUGAGCAGCCCAAAUGUCAUCUUGAAGCUGUUGGUUGAAGUAUCUCGUAUUUGGUUUAUGUGCAACACUCAACAAGCGCACAUGUCAGCGCUUAGAAGGGCGAGUUUAUAUAAAUAUAUAAUGCCCGCUGUAAAACAUGGGAAGGUUUUCUGAGUGUAACCCUGUUUAGUGCGAGGUCAGAGGACCCCUGGACACGCUAUGUUUUGAUUUAUAAUCUUCUUUAGCCUGUAAGGAGUCAAAAAGGAGCUGAAGUUGUUGGUGCUCAAGCUGUGCCUUGGGCUAUCGGAUCCCAGCAAAGGCUCCUGAGCUUCCAGAAAAACUCCUGCCCUGGCUAUAUCACAUAUUGCGCUGCUUAAAAUGAUAAAAGACGGUGACAGGGUUGUCGGGAAAUGUUUUAACUCAUCGCACUGGUGAUAUCAGAGCCAUUGUCUGUUUUAAUUCUGACCCCAUAAUGAAGUAUUGACCGCACUUUACAAUAAAGGUCCAAGAUACAGUAACUCCAUGCUUUUUGGCUCAUGGAAAUGUUAAUUUUUGUUUUUCCAGUAAAUGGCACAAAUGUACUUCCAAAUGAGACUAACAAACACUGAGCCAGGGGAAUAACCCCCCAGCAGCUCUUCCCCGGGGCUGUUUGCUUUUACAAUGGGUGUUUCCUACCCGGAGUUACUCAGCAAAUAAAAGUAAAGGAGGAAAAAUACAGUUACAGUGUUGGCAGAAGGGCUGUGAUUCAUGAGACUGAUGACAUCGCAGGGGUUUAUGAUGUCACGGGGCUGGAUGCUGCCCGAUUUCCCAUCAGAAACUACUGAGCUGGGAAAAGGCAUCCUCAGUGACUUAGAAACCAACCCCAGCGAUCAAAUGUUGCCAUUGAUUACUUAAACGAGAUGAAUUCUUGUUCUGUGCUUAGAGAGGGGCAGAUGCUCAGCUGGUGUAAACUCUUACAUCUGCCUCGGUGUAAAUAAGUCCCUGUAAGUCAGGGGAGCUGUGGUAUUUACACCAGUGGUUUAUUACCCUGUAACGCACACGUGCAGCCUCGCCGGUGGUUACCCGCAUUAUGCUCGGUGCCUGCCAGUCCCUUGCCGCUCCAAACAUCUAAUUAAUUCCCAUGCUUUUAAGGAAAUGAAGCCGUACAGGAAUAUGCUACCAGUAACAAAUUACACAGUACUGAUGCCACCAAUUAAUGCUGCGAGGAAUAAUACCAUAUUUCAGCUGCUGAAUGCUUUUUUUUUCCCCCUAAAUUAAUUUGUCACUGUACAAUAAAAGAAGGCUACUGUCCUGCCUGGAAGUUGUUAAAUUAAUAUUCAGACAUCAUCUGAAGUGCAAGAAAGGGGAAAAAUAUAAGGGAUAUAGGUAUUUAUUUUCCCCCCUUCUUAUUCUCGUUAUGUCUGAGGGUAAACAGCCAAAUACAAGUGUAAAUCCGCAAUCCCCCCUUGGGGUUGUGGUGACUGUCCCAGUGCUCCCAGUCCCCACCAGCAUCAUCCCACCCCAGUGCUGCCAUCUUGUCUCUGUGGGGACCUGAUGUAUACUGCGAUAUUUUCUAAAAACCAGCAAGGAGCCGUCUGGGUUUGUUGUUACCUCCUUGCCCAGGUGAUGCAGAAGCUUCUGAUGUUCCCCAUGCAGGUGAGGACGCAAGGUGGGACUCGAUGGAACAGCUGGCAGCUUCGCUUCCUUGGAGUAAACCAGAUGAGUUGUGGCAAAAGGAGGAAACGCGAUGGAUUAUGUGCUCCCGCCGGGGCUGAGCUUUGCACUUGAGUCACCCGUGGGUUUUUUGACUGAAAGCAUCAGGAAACAUGGGUGCUGCUGUAGAGCCCUUAGAGGCACCAGGGAAACGAGCUGGGCGUGGGGCUGGAAAAGCAAAAGGGAAAGCGUGUUUGGUGCGUGGUGACACCCACAAUUGUGCCCGGAAGUGUUUACCCACGGAGACUGUGGCUGCCCUUGGAACACCCUGGGGUUAUUACCAGGGUGCUUCACUGCAAACACCCCAUAACUCCUGCUCCAGGAACAUGGAUAAGAUUAAAAAACAAAUUAAUCUCAUUUCAGUCACGCAAUAGAGAUGGGACACAACACUGAGUUAGCGGGGCUGGCGUGCAGAGCACAGCCCAUCUCUCUUUGCAAGGAUGAGCUCAAAAAUAGCCAGGCUAGCAUUAUUGAUAUUUCUAUCCAUUUAUAUAUUACGUAGAAGCUUUCUAAUAGUAUAAUUACAAAAAAAUAGCAGCAUGCUGAGACGUUUCCCACUCCCCUGGGUUGCAGCUCUCCCCAGUCUUGGUGCUCUGUCCUGCCAAGACAUGAAGUUAGUUGAAAAGAGAUUUUCUUUAAAUACCACAAACUGUCAUCUGGAGAGGGGAGCACACAGCGGGGCAUAUUUUAGCAGGUGUGGAAGGAACAUUACGCAGCAACAUUGAGGUGAUCUACCCGGCUACCGAAACUCUACCUGCCCUAGUGGGUCGUGAGAAAUGAAUUUGAUAAUGUGGAAAAUCCAGGCGUUAUUGAGAAAUUAGAUUGGUCUCCGACUGGGUUAAUCUGCUGCUGGUCGUAGGAAAAAUUAAUAAAGUGCAGAUCUGUAUCAAUCUGGGUGAUUUUUGGUGAAGUGUGAACCUUAUCCGCCCAAAACUGUUGGCACAGCAGCUGAAGCUGGGACUCACAGGAGGCUUUGUCUGUGGGAUGCCGGCCGUCGUGCUGCAUCCCCGGAGUGUUGGGUACCAAAAGCACCAACAUCCCAAAUACCGGCUUCAGGAUGCGGGAUGAGUUGAACUCUGACUUCAUGACUGCGAUGAGCACAGUGGACAUGCAUUAAAUGCACUUUUGGGGAAUAAUUUCCCAGCUUGGUCUGGACUGAUGACAGAAGAGGUUUGAAUUUGGGCUAGAUGUGUAAAAAAAUGCACAAACGAAGCUGGUUUUUAGCACCUGGCAAGAGGAAAGCAUCUAAAAGUUAAACUGGCCUUGACUUGUGUUAAGAGGAGUUAUCUGUGCUGGCCAUAAAUCGAACCAGGAUGGCUUAAUUGCUCAUUCGCAGUAAAUAAAGCUAUAACUGAGAUGUCUACUUUAUAAUAUAGAGGGGAUCUCCCAGGCUGUGGAGGAUGAUAGCUAGCCAGAGAAAUCCAUUCGAAGGCUCUUUGGGAUCGAUAAGCAGUUAAGAGAGCCGCGGGAAGAUGACAUUGCCUGUCUUUGUGCGCAGGCACCCGGAGAGGUGCCGGUUGUUAAACACACCAAGGGCAAAACUUGAUUUCCAGCUGCGUUCCCAUUCUGUGCCCAAACACACAGAGGCAGGAGCAGCAGAAUAAAUGGCUGGGGACACAUCAGCUUUGAUAACAGUGCUCUUGCCCUCACCGCGGGGUGAUGUCCGAAGCUGGGGUGGUGGGCUUAACCACCAGGUUUAUUAAUAUUUGGCUGUGUGGCUUGUGUUGCAGCUCACGCUGGUACCAGCCCUGGGAUUGCCUGAUUUAGGCUGGACCAAAUGGUGGAGGGAGCGGCUGAGGGGCUUAGAGCUGGUUUUCGCUGAAGGCUUCCGAAGAACUCCAUGGAUGCGACUCUGUCUAUCUGUCUGAGAAGGGUCUCCUCCCAAAUACACUGCUCUUGUAAAUAUAUUUUGUGCUCUCGGUGUUUUACUGGGCUGUUUCUCCUGUCUCUGGGGGAGCUGGAGCCUCCCAUCAACCAUGGGAAACAUAAAUGGCAACAACUGGCUCAUCCCUAAUCGUUUGCUUCAAAAUGCUGUUUGGUAGAAGAUCAAUUGCCACUUAGCUCCCAGCUCCUGCCCUGCCGCUCUCUUAAAAGGGAAAUAUUACAGCUGCUUUCCAGCCCUACUACUCCUCACCUGGCCCACGCUUAAUUAGUAAUUAUUGUUAAGUCCCCCAUGCCAGUGGGACUGCAACAGGAGCUGGGCCAAGCUGUGGCCCCUCCAGCCCCAAAUCCAAAAGAAACGCAGAAUAGAGAAGGAAAAAGCAAACUAUGAAGCAAUCGCUGGUGGGAUUCUGCUCAGUGACACGUGGGGGUGUCGCCUGGUGUCUGUCCCGUGGGUACCUGCACCUUGCUCGCCCCGGUGAGGUGGGAUGCUGGAAUCUGCAGCUGAUACCAGAGUCCUACCAGCCUCGCAAGCAGUUAGAAAACCUCUCCGUCCACUGAACUAGGAAGCUUUGGGGUCAGCUGGUGGUGUGGAAAAUGAUAUAUCCUGUUUUCCCUAGUGAGGAAACAGACCAGCUCACAGUCACUUCACAAGGACGUAAAGAUGUGAGACUCGCUAGAGCCAUUAUUUCCAAGGACUAAUUUGCUCGGCCUUAUUUAAUUAGCUGUCCUUGAGCCAAUCUGCUUAAGUGGCGGUGAGUUCACCCUGAUGCAAAGCACAGGCUCGUAAAACAAGGGCUGGAUGAGGCAUCAGGUGUGCCAAGGCACCACCUGCUUUUGCCUUAUUAUUUCCCGCAGAUAGCUGUCUGAUCCGGUCCCAGAAAUGCUAAUAAUAAUAAUAAUUUUUUGGGAAGAGAGAUGCUUGUAGAUCCUGGCUGUUCAAGCUGGAGAAGCUUGAUGGUGGAGUUUGACAUACAAAUCAUCUCAGAGAGGCCGGCUGCAAAACCUGUCCCGUGGAAAGAAAAGUCCACACUUCACCCUCUGCCAUGGGGGAUGUCUUCCCCGCUGUGGUGUCCAUUAAAAUGAAACUUUAACUGUUUAAACUGAUCCUGCCCGUACCUCUGUGGCCUUAUUUAGCAUCUCCCGGGCGGGUGCCAGCCCUGUCACAGCGGCGUCUCCCGUCGCGAUGUUGCACAUGUACAGGUGGCGUUUCCAAAAGCAUCCGUGGGGACGGACACGUGGGGCCAGGCUGUCAGUGAGGAUGGGGCUGGCUGGUCCCACGGGAGCAUCAGGCUGCCGUCCCCUGGAAUAUAACCCCUUCACAACAUCACCCUCCUGCCAAAAUCCAUUCUUUGCCUUCAUUCCUCCUCUGCUCUGACCUCAGGAUUAUGAUGCUUUUUUGGUUUUGUUUUCAGAAAUAGCAAAUGUUGAAUGAAAUAUCCCCGAGCUUGGAGGCAUUGCAUAGACACGUGCGAGCUCUCUCCCUGCCCUUGGCCGCACCAUAAAACCUGCUGCAGGCACUACAAAGCCAAGGCAGGGGUAUUGCCAGGAAUCGCUCUCCAAAUUCAAGAUGUUCUCUGUAUUUAUUUUUCCCCCGGGCUCCGUUUGCUGACAGCGAACAACCCGUGACUUCGGGCAGCCAGCGCCUGCGCUACAGGUUUUUGUUCAUCCAUCGGCCCUCGCUGCCAAAUGCUGAAGUCAGACAACUGGCGGUGGCCGGUGCCAGCUCGGGUUGCUCGCACUGGGAUUAGCACGUGAACGGGUUCGGUUUUGCGGGGGCCGAGCGUGGCCUUUGCUUUUACCCUGCUGGCUGCAGUUGCUUCUCUGAAAGAUGUCUGGUGUGACUUUGCUUUUGACUUUCUGCAAGAGGCUGUUCUGAUAAAGGGGUUUUUCCUGUUUUUUUGUAGAUGUCUUUUUACCUGGCGUGCACGUCUGCUGUGUCAGGCUGUCCCCGUGCUCAGUCCCUGGGCCAGACACCUCUUUAGAAGGGAUUAAGGGGAUGCGUUGGACCUGGGGAUCUCCAGGAAACCAAGGAUCAACCUCCAAAAUGCUGGGAGACAUAAAACAAGCAAAUCCUUCCCGAGACGGCAAAGGCAACCGAGCUUCUCAGUUGCAAGUGAAGCUGGUUUUGUCCGCUCUUUUGCUUGCAGCGUUCGCCCUCACCCCAGGACUCUGCAAACAAAACUGAAAUGAGCAGAUAAAUAAAAGAAUCAGAGUAUAUUUUUUAAAUUGUUAACUCAA
Columba livia (rock pigeon) is the source of this 14342-nucleotide long non-coding RNA. RefSeq lists it as uncharacterized. The transcript is spliced from 5 exons. The record is from RefSeq and is a predicted model, not a curated record. NCBI's taxonomy places the organism in Eukaryota, Metazoa, Chordata, Aves, Columbiformes, Columbidae.